RNAcentral lists this ribosomal RNA (496 nucleotides) under uncultured bacterium. RNAcentral's name for it is "partial 16S ribosomal RNA". It matches the Rfam family "Bacterial small subunit ribosomal RNA", at positions 29 to 507 of the family's 1533-position model. The record is from RNAcentral.
AUGAACGCUGGCGGCGUGCCUAAUACAUGCAAGGCGAGCGAACAGACGAGGAGCUUGCUCCUCUGACGUUAGCGGCGGACGGGUGAGUAACACGUGGAUAACCUACCUAUAAGACUGGGAUAACUUCGGGAAACCGGAGCUAAUACCGGAUAAUAUAUUGAACCGCAUGGUUCAAUAGUGAAAGACGGUUUUGCUGUCACUUAUAGAUGGAUCCGCGCCGCAUUAGCUAGUUGGUAAGGUAACGGCUUACCAAGGCAACGAUGCGUAGCCGACCUGAGAGGGUGAUCGGCCACACUAGAACUGAGACACGGUCCAGACUCCUGCGGGAGGCAGCAGUAGGGAAUCUUCCGCAAUGGGCGAAAGCCUGACGGAGCAACGCCGCGUGAGUGAUGAAGGUCUUCGGAUCGUAAAACUCUGUUAUUAGGGAAGAACAAAUGUGUAAGUAACUAUGCACGUCUUGACGGUACCUAGUCAGAAAGCCACGGCUAACUACGUG